UGCAGUCGAACGGCAGCACGGAGCUUGCUCUGGUGGCGAGUGGCGAACGGGUGAGUAAUAUAUCGGAACGUACCCUAGAGUGGGGGAUAACGUAGCGAAAGUUACGCUAAUACCGCAUACGAUCUAAGGAUGAAAGUGGGGGAUCGCAAGACCUCAUGCUCGUGGAGCGGCCGAUAUCUGAUUAGCUAGUUGGUAGGGUAAAAGCCUACCAAGGCAUCGAUCAGUAGCUGGUCUGAGAGGACGACCAGCCACACUGGAACUGAGACACGGUCCAGACUCCUACGGGAGGCAGCAGUGGGGAAUUUUGGACAAUGGGCGAAAGCCUGAUCCAGCAAUGCCGCGUGAGUGAAGAAGGCCUUCGGGUUGUAAAGCUCUUUUGUCAGGGAAGAAACGGUGAGAGCUAAUAUCUCUUGCUAAUGACGGUACCUGAAGAAUAAGCACCGGCUAACUACGUGCCAGCAGCCGCGGUAAUACGUAGGGUGCAAGCGUUAAUCGGAAUUACUGGGCGUAAAGCGUGCGCAGGCGGUUUUGUAAGUCUGAUGUGAAAUCCCCGGGCUCAACCUGGGAAUUGCAUUGGAGACUGCAAGGCUAGAAUCUGGCAGAGGGGGGUAGAAUUCCACGUGUAGCAGUGAAAUGCGUAG
RNAcentral lists this ribosomal RNA (641 nucleotides) under uncultured bacterium. Its description in RNAcentral is "bacterial SSU rRNA". It matches the Rfam family "Bacterial small subunit ribosomal RNA", at positions 56 to 693 of the family's 1533-position model. The record is from RNAcentral.